AGGCUUAUAGUUUAAUUGGUUAGAGCAUACCGCUCAUAACGGUAUAGUUGUAGGUUCAAGUCCUACUAAGCCUAAUUA
RNAcentral lists this transfer RNA (78 nucleotides) under Phytophthora nicotianae P1976. RNAcentral's name for it is "Phytophthora parasitica P1976 tRNA-Met". It matches the Rfam family "tRNA". From Rfam's summary of the family: Transfer RNA (tRNA) molecules are approximately 80 nucleotides in length. Their secondary structure includes four short double-helical elements and three loops (D, anti-codon, and T loops). Lineage: Eukaryota; Oomycota; Peronosporomycetes; Peronosporales; Peronosporaceae. The record is from RNAcentral.